Molecule: non-coding RNA, 312 nt
Organism: Pelobates cultripes (western spadefoot toad)
Lineage: Eukaryota; Metazoa; Chordata; Amphibia; Anura; Pelobatidae
Source: the annotation of a GenBank genome assembly
GUGAGGGAGGUGGUGAUUAGUGACAGAGGGAGGGAUGGGGUGAAUAGUGACAGAGUGAGGGGAUGACUAGUGACAGUUAGGGAGGGGAUGACUAGUGACAGAGGGAGGGAUGGGGUGACUAGUGACAGUUACCACCUCUGUCACUAGUCACCAUCUCCCUCCCUCUGUUACUAGUCAUCCUCUCCCUCAUUCUGUCACUAGUCACCCCCUCCCUCACUAGUCACCCCCCCUGUCACUAGUCACCCCUCCCUCACUCUGUCACUAGUCACCCAUUCCCUCCCUCACUCUGUCACUAGUCACCUUCUCCCUCAC